GACGAACGCUGGCGGCGUGCUUAACACAUGCAAGUCGAACGGAAAGGCCCUGCUUUUGUGGGGUGCUCGAGUGGCGAACGGGUGAGUAACACGUGAGUAACCUGCCCUUGACUUUGGGAUAACUUCAGGAAACUGGGGCUAAUACCGGAUAGGAGCUCCUGCUGCAUGGUGGGGGUUGGAAAGUUUCGGCGGUUGGGGAUGGACUCGCGGCUUAUCAGCUUGUUGGUGGGGUAGUGGCUUACAAAGGCUUUGACGGGUAGCCGGCCUGAGAGGGUGACCGGCCACAUUGGGACUGAGAUACAGCCCAGACUCCUACGGGAGGCAGCAGUGGGGAAUAUUGCACAAUGGGCGGAAGCCUGAUGCAGCAACGCCGCGUGCGGGAUGACGGCCUUCGGGUUGUAAACCGCUUUCGCCUGUGACGAAGCGUGAGUGACGGUAAUGGGUAAAGAAGCACCGGCUAACUACGU
RNAcentral lists this ribosomal RNA (467 nucleotides) under uncultured bacterium. Its description in RNAcentral is "partial 16S ribosomal RNA". It matches the Rfam family "Bacterial small subunit ribosomal RNA", at positions 28 to 506 of the family's 1533-position model. The record is from RNAcentral.